Molecule: ribosomal RNA, 387 nt
Filed under: Triticum aestivum (bread wheat)
Lineage: Eukaryota; Viridiplantae; Streptophyta; Magnoliopsida; Poales; Poaceae
Description: partial small subunit ribosomal RNA
Source: RNAcentral
AUGGCGCCAUACUCGCUCGGAAGCUGCCCGUGCACCGCGCCAGCGCUGCCAGUGCACCGAGAAAACGAGGACACGCACGCUUCUUCAGCAAGUCUCCAGUGGAGUAGGAUUUUUUUUUUCCAGUGGAGUUGGAUUGAAAGGCCGAAAUCCGUUUCUUCUCUGUCUCAGGCUCGUGCCAGUUCAUAUGUGGAACUAUUUCAGCCCAGCCCUGGAAGAAAAUUCGGCCCAAAUGCAUGCUUUUUGAAACAUUUUAGAGUUUUCUCCCCAAAAAACAAGAUUUUUUUUCCUGUUUGGCGCUUGAGGCGCCAGUUACUACUGUUGGUUACUAGGGUUGGGAGCUACCAUACUAGUCAAUUGACUUUUCUGGUCUUCAUGGCACAACUUUGA